RNAcentral lists this ribosomal RNA (267 nucleotides) under Pseudomonas sp. 2588-5. RNAcentral describes it as "partial 23S ribosomal RNA". It matches the Rfam family "Bacterial large subunit ribosomal RNA", at positions 324 to 593 of the family's 2925-position model. Lineage: Bacteria; Pseudomonadati; Pseudomonadota; Gammaproteobacteria; Pseudomonadales; Pseudomonadaceae. The record is from RNAcentral.
UGAUCGUAGGUGAAGCGACCUGGAAAGGUCCGCGGGACAAGGUAAAAGCCCUGUAGCCGAAACGGUCACUCCUCCGGAGUGUAUCCUGAGUACGGCGGGACACGUGAAACCCCGUCGGAAGCAGGGAGGACCAUCUCCCAAGGCUAAAUACUUCCUAGUGACCGAUAGUGACCAGUACCGUGAGGGGAAGGUGAAAAGCACCCCGGGAGGGGAGUGAAAUAGAUCUUGAAACCGUGUGCCUACAAGUAGUUGGAGCCCGUUAAUGGG